This 1061-nucleotide small RNA is filed under the name Cryptococcus neoformans H99. Its description in RNAcentral is "Cryptococcus neoformans var. grubii H99 hypothetical RNA". The record is from RNAcentral. Lineage: Eukaryota; Fungi; Basidiomycota; Tremellomycetes; Tremellales; Cryptococcaceae.
CUAGCCCAUCCCUCUACUUUUUGAUCGUAUAUAAACUAUCUUCACAUAUUAAAAUCGAUUAGCGGAACCUCUACCAUGAGUCAACGUCAUCCUUGCUCCACCUUGCAAUACACCUUCCCUCAUCCUUACGCCUACACUGCCUUGCACCAUCCCCAUCCCAGUCCCUACCAGCAUGGAUUGGCUGGAAUCCAUCGACGGUGCACUCAUGUGCUGUUGCAGAGGGGUAGGUCUGGCUGAUCCAGGGCGGUUCACUAAAUCAAUCUCGAGUCAGCUUCAACCUCUAAAGUCGUUAAGUUCGACACUAUUUGACAUACCGAAAGAAGGGUUUGACAUCUUUAGCCUCUCAAUAAAACUUGAUUGCGGUCGCUGAGGGACAGACAUUUGCGGUUGUUGCGCUUGCAGUGAUUGGGCGUUGAAGCUUCGUUCGUGUUGAUUGGGUAACUUUGUUCCAGGUCUUUCCUCAGCUGCGCGGCGAUUUGGCGAAGGGUUCGCUGGGUCAUAUCUGUACGCUCUGUAAAGCAAAGCAACCACAGCAUUCCAUCAGUACACAUCCUCUUUUCAUUGCUCCGUCGCAGAAUCUUACUCCAGGCGUGACUUAACAUCAGCACCAUCUGCAUUCAUUUCAUCCGUCAUAUGUCUAAACCCCAUAGUGCUCUGCGGUCUUCCCCCAGAGCCCCGCAAAGGUGCUUGUGGCGGUGCCCCCAAUCGUGGAAUAGCCUUGGGCGCUGUAGAGCUGAAUCCGCGUGACAUGGGACGGGUAGGUUGGAAAUUGUGUGAGGGCUGAGGAUGUUGGAGAUGUUGAGGUCCUUCAGAGGCACCUGAGGCAGGGGUGGGCGGGACGAAUCUGGGUUGCAAGUCAAGGUUCUGACCAUUUUGCUUUUCCAUUGAUAUGACGGAUGUACGUACCGUCGAGGUUGUUGUUCUAGUAUAUCAAUCCUUCUUCUCUUAUUCGACCUCUCAACAUCUCCUGCCUUACCCAUCCCAUACCCAAAACCUACUGUUGGCUGCUGUUCUUCCUCUUGCACAGUUGGUAACAUUGGCGGCGGUGGCAUGUAUCCGUU